AAUCAACGCUGGCGGCGUGCCUCAGACAUGCAAGUCGAACGAUUAAGACUUCCUUCGGGAAGUGCAUAAAGUGGCGCACGGGUGAGUAACACGUAAGUAAUCUACCUUCGAGUGGGGAAUAACGUUCGGAAACGAACGCUAAUACCGCAUAAUGCAGCGGCAUCGCAAGAUGACAGUUGUUAAAGGAUUUAUUUCGCUUGAAGAGGAGCUUGCGGCAGAUUAGCUAGUUGGUAAGGUAACGGCUUACCAAGGCUACGAUCUGUAUCCGGUCUAAGAGGACGGUCGGACACACUGACACUGAAUAACGGGUCAGACUCCUACGGGAGGCAGCAGUCGGGAAUUUUGGGCAAUGGGCGAAAGCCUGACCCAGCAACGCCGCGUGAAGGAUGAAGUAUUUCGGUAUGUAAACUUCGAAAGAAUGGGAAGAAUAAAUGACGGUACAUUUAUAAGCUCCGGCUAACUACGCGCCAGCAGCCGCGGUAAU
This 484-nucleotide ribosomal RNA is filed under the name uncultured bacterium. RNAcentral's name for it is "bacterial SSU rRNA". It matches the Rfam family "Bacterial small subunit ribosomal RNA", at positions 32 to 524 of the family's 1533-position model. The record is from RNAcentral.